CCCUGGGUGGUGCAAAUAGUUAACACACUUGGCUGCUAACUAAAAGAUUGGAAGUUUGAGUCUUUCCAGAGGUA
This 74-nucleotide transfer RNA is filed under the name Loxodonta africana (African savanna elephant). It matches the Rfam family "tRNA". From Rfam's summary of the family: Transfer RNA (tRNA) molecules are approximately 80 nucleotides in length. Lineage: Eukaryota; Metazoa; Chordata; Mammalia; Proboscidea; Elephantidae. The record is from Rfam by way of RNAcentral.